UACGUAGGGGCCAAGCGUUGUCCGGAUUUAUUGGGCGUAAAGAGCUCGUAGGUGGUUCGGCAAGUCAGUUGUGAAAUCUCCGCGCUCAACGCGGAGGGGUCAGCUGAAACUGCUGUGACUUGAGUCUGGUAGGGGAGUGUGGAAUUCCCGGUGUAGCGGUGAAAUGCGCAGAUAUCGGGAGGAACACCAGUAGCGAAGGCAGCUCGCUGGGACGUAACUGACGCUGAGACGCGAAAGCGUGGGGAGCAAACAGG
RNAcentral lists this ribosomal RNA (254 nucleotides) under uncultured bacterium. RNAcentral describes it as "partial 16S ribosomal RNA". It matches the Rfam family "Bacterial small subunit ribosomal RNA", at positions 524 to 776 of the family's 1533-position model. The record is from RNAcentral.